RNAcentral lists this long non-coding RNA (836 nucleotides) under Helianthus annuus (common sunflower). RNAcentral's name for it is "hypothetical non coding rna". Lineage: Eukaryota; Viridiplantae; Streptophyta; Magnoliopsida; Asterales; Asteraceae. The record is from RNAcentral.
GAUAAAGCAAAACAAAUCCUUCGCCACCCCCUCUUUUCUCUCAACAAGUUCUCUGAUCUGUUCUCCCCCACAACCUCCAUAGCCCUAACCCUAACGUCGCCCAACUCCACCCCCGUUGCUGGAUUCAGACCACCCACAACAGUCAUCCACCUUCCCCACUACCGGCGGUCGUCUUCAACCACCGCCGCAUCGUCUUCAACCACCGCCUUCUCCGCUGCUCAUCAUCGUCGACCACAACCACGCCCCUCAAUCCCAAUCGUAGCCGGAACCCUAACACCAGCCGCUGCCCACCCCCAUCCUCUUCACACAUCACCGGCAACCCACCACAGUCGAACGACCGCCGGCCCUCCACGCAUCACCGCUACCAGGGCUGUGCAUAUCACGACCACUUUGAGAAAACCACCUGCAACCAUGGCUCCUCUCUCCCUUUCCUUGAGAUCUGAGGUAAACAACAACACCACACAGGCCAACAUCGCCAUCUUUCGACGGAUCUGAGGAAAACAAGAAGCACCACGUCGGUCCAUUUCUACUCCGCCACCAUCUGGUCACACGACCCACACCCCGGUCCAUUUCCACUCCGCCACCAUCGAUGAAGAUAAAAAGAGUUUGGAUCAGGGCGGCUUGGUGGCAAGAACGAUUUGAUGUAUGUUUUAACUUUUAAGUUUGAACGAGCUUUUAACCGGAGAUUGGUGUUGAAGGUUGUCCAUUUUGGUGUUAUCUAUCCUGAUUAUCAUGAAUAAAGUGAAGUAAAAUGUAUGAAUGAUCUGAUUUUGAUACAAAGUGAUUUAUACUGUUAGUAACAGAACUGUUUAAAAGAGAAUGAGUAAAUUAUGUUU